RNAcentral lists this ribosomal RNA (467 nucleotides) under uncultured bacterium. Its description in RNAcentral is "bacterial SSU rRNA". It matches the Rfam family "Bacterial small subunit ribosomal RNA", at positions 337 to 796 of the family's 1533-position model. The record is from RNAcentral.
UCCUACGGGAGGCAGCAGUGGGGAAUAUUGCACAAUGGGGGGAACCCUGAUGCAGCCAUGCCGCGUGAAUGAAGAAGGCCUUCGGGUUGUAAAGUUCUUUCGGUGAUGAGGAAGGUGUUUUGUUUAAUAGACAAAGCAAUUGACGUUAGUCACAGAAGAAGCACCGGCUAACUCCGUGCCAGCAGCCGCGGUAAUACGGAGGGCGCGAGCGUUAAUCGGAAUAACUGGGCGUAAAGGGCACGCAGGCGGAUUGUUAAGUGAGAUGUGAAAGCCCCGGGCUUAACCUGGGAAUUGCAUUUCAGACUGGCAGUCUAGAGUAUUUUAGGGAGGGGUAGAAUUCCACGUGUAGCGGUGAAAUGCGUAGAGAUGUGGAGGAAUACCGAAGGCGAAGGCAGCCCCUUGGGAAUAUACUGACGCUCAUGUGCGAAAGCGUGGGGAGCAAACAGGAUUAGAUACCCUGGUAGUCC